UACGAAGGGGGCUAGCGUUGCCCGGAAUCACUGGGCGUAAAGCGCACGUAGGCGGAUUGCUAAGUCAGGGGUGAAAUCCUGGAGCUCAACUCCAGAACUGCCUUUGAUACUGGCGACCUUGAGUCCGGGAGAGGUGAGUGGAACUGCGAGUGUAGAGGUGAAAUUCGUAGAUAUUCGCAAGAACACCAGUGGCGAAGGCGGCUCACUGGCCCGGUACUGACGCUGAGGUGCGAAAGCGUGGGGAGCAAACAGG
RNAcentral lists this ribosomal RNA (253 nucleotides) under uncultured bacterium. RNAcentral describes it as "partial 16S ribosomal RNA". It matches the Rfam family "Bacterial small subunit ribosomal RNA", at positions 524 to 776 of the family's 1533-position model. The record is from RNAcentral.